Molecule: ribosomal RNA, 498 nt
Filed under: uncultured bacterium
Lineage: Bacteria
Description: partial 16S ribosomal RNA
Rfam family: Bacterial small subunit ribosomal RNA
Source: RNAcentral
GACGAACGCUGGCGGCGUGCCUAAUACAUGCCAGUCGAGCGGACGGAUGGGAGCUUGCUCCCAGACCGUCAGCGGCGGACGGGUGAGUAACACGUGGGCAACCUGCCUGUAAGACUGGGAUAACUCCGGGAAACCGGGGCUAAUACCGGAUAACUCUUUCCCUCACAUGAGGGAAAGCUGAAAGAUGGCAUCUCGCUAUCACUUACAGAUGGGCCCGCGGCGCAUUAGCUAGUUGGUGAGGUAACGGCUCACCAAGGCGACGAUGCGUAGCCGACCUGAGAGGGUGAUCGGCCACACUGGGACUGAGACACGGCCCAGACUCCUACGGGAGGCAGCAGUAGGGAAUCUUCCGCAAUGGACGAAAGUCUGACGGAGCAACGCCGCGUGAGUGAUGAAGGUUUUCGGAUCGUAAAACUCUGUUGUCGGGGAAGAACAAGUACCGGAGUAACUGCCGGUACCUUGACGGUACCUGACCAGAAAGCCACGGCUAACUACGUG